Molecule: ribosomal RNA, 395 nt
Filed under: uncultured bacterium
Lineage: Bacteria
Description: partial 16S ribosomal RNA
Rfam family: Bacterial small subunit ribosomal RNA
Source: RNAcentral
AUACGUAGGGGGCAAGCGUUAUCCGGAUUUACUGGGCGUAAAGGGAGCGUAGACGGAAGGCCAAGUCUGUUGUGAAAGCCCGCGGCUCAACUGCGGGACUGCAUUGGAAACUGGUCAUCUGGAGUGCAGGAGGGGAAAGCGGAAUUCCUAGUGUAGCGGUGAAAUGCGUAGAGAUUGGGAGGAACACCAGUGGCGAAGGCGACUUACUGGACUGUAACUGACGCUGAGGCGCGAAAGUGUGGGGAGCAAACAGGAUUAGAUACCCUGGUAGUCCACACUGUAAACGAUGAAUGCUAGGUGUAGGGGGUAUCGACCCCUUCUGUGCCGCAGUCAACACAAUAAGCAUUCCGCCUGGGGAGUACGGCGCAAGGUUGAAACUCAAAGGAAUUGACGGG